UGAUCUACCCAUGUCCAGGUUGAAGCACAGGUAAAAAUGUGUGGAGGACCGAACCAGUGAGCGUUGAAAAGCUUUUGGAUGAGAUGUGGGUAGGGGUGAAAUGCCAAUCGAACGUGGAGAUAGCUGGUUCUCCCCGAAAUAGCUUUAGGGCUAGCCUCAUGGCGAGAGUACAGGCGGUAGAGCACUGAACAGGGUAGGGGCCUAUCCGGCUACUGAACCUAAUCAAACUGCGAAUGGCUGUACUUAUCCAUGGGAGUCAGACUGUGAGUAAUAAGGCCCAUAGUCAAGAGGGAAACAGCCCAGACCAACAGCUAAGGUCCCCAAUGCCGUACUAAGUGGCGAAGGAUGUGGAAUUUCAAAAACAACCAGGAUGUUGGCUCAGAAGCAGCCACCAUUAAAAGAGUGCGUAAUAGCUCACUGGUCGAGAGACUCUGCGCCGAAGAUGUCCGGGGCUAAAGUACGGAACCGAAGCUUUGGCAAUUAACUUAUGUUAAUUGGGUAGGGGAGCGUUCCUGCAUGGGAGAAGCCUGACCGGAAGGACAGGUGGACAGGCAGGAAGAGAGAAUGCCGGUAUGAGUAGCGAAAAGAAGGGUGAGAAUCCCUUCCACCGAAAGCCUAAGGGUUCCUGGGCAACGAUCGUCGUCCCAGGGUAAGUCGGGACCUAAUCCGAGGCGGAGACGCGCAGGAGAUGGACAACAGGUUGAAAUUCCUGUACUGGCUGAUUUCGUUUGAGCAAGGGAGUGACACAGGAAGGAAGGCGCGCGUGCGAUUGGAAGAGCACGUCCAAGCAGGUAGGUGGGAAGAUAGGCAAAUCCGUCUUCCCAAAAGCUGAGAUGCGAUGGGGAGCGACUGGAAACAGUCGUGAAGGGGCUGGCACUAAACUGUCGAGAAAAGCUUCUAGUGAGAAAUCAGGCACCCGUACCGAAACCGACACAGGUAGGCAGGAUGAGAAUUCUAAGGUGCGCGGGAAAACCCUCGUUAAGGAACUCGGCAAAAUGUAUCCGUAACUUCGGGAAAAGGAUAACCCGGCGUACGUGAAGUGCAGAAGCGCACGGAGCGGAACCGGGUGGCAGAAGAGAGGCCCAAGCGACUGUUUACCACAAACACAGGCGUCUGCUAAAGCGAAAGCUGAUGUAUAGAUGCUGACACCUGCCCGGUGCUGGAAGGUUAAGAGGAAGUGUUAGCGCAAGCGAAGCAGUGAAUUGAAGCCCCAGUAAACGGCGGCCGUAACUAUAACGGUCCUAAGGUAGCGAAAUUCCUUGUCGGGUAAGUUCCGACCCGCACGAAAGGUGUAACGAUUUGGGCACUGUCUCAACGAGGGACCCGGUGAAAUUGAAAUACCUGUGAAGAUGCAGGUUACCCGCGACUGGACAGAAAGACCCCAUGGAGCUUUACUGUAACCUGAGAUUGGAUUCCGGUAAGAGAUGUACAGGAUAGUUGGGAGGCUGAGAAGCAAGUACGCCAGUAUUUGCCGAGCCGAUGGUGGGAUACCAACCUUGUUUUAUUGGAAUUCUAACGAGAAGUUUAACAGACUUGCGGACAGUCUCAGGCGGGCAGUUUGACUGGGGCGGUCGCCUCCGAAAGAGUAACGGAGGCGCCCAAAGGUUCCCUCAGCGCGGACGGAAACCGCGCGAAGAGUGCAAAGGCAGAAGGGAGCUUGACUGCGAGACGGACAGGUCGAGCAGGGACGAAAGUCGGGCUUAGUGAUCCGGUGGUAGAGAGUGGAAUUGCCAUCGCUCAACGGAUAAAAGCUACCCUGGGGAUAACAGGCUUAUCUCUCCCAAGAGUCCAUAUCGACGGGGAGGUUUGGCACCUCGAUGUCGGCUCAUCACAUCCUGGGGCUGAAGUAGGUCCCAAGGGUUGGGCUGUUCGCCCAUUAAAGUGGUACGCGAGCUGGGUUCAGAACGUCGUGAGACAGUUCGGUCCCUAUCCAUCGCGGGCGGAAGAAACUUGAAAGGGGCUGCUCCUAGUACGAGAGGACCGGAGUGGACCGACCAAUGGUGUACCAGUCAUGGCGCCAGCCGUGCAGCUGGGUAGCUACGUCGGGGACGGAUAAACGCUGAAAGCAUCUAAGCGUGAAACCAGCCUAAAGAUGAGGUUUCUCAUUGU
Molecule: ribosomal RNA, 2109 nt
Filed under: human gut metagenome
Description: bacterial LSU rRNA
Rfam family: Bacterial large subunit ribosomal RNA
Source: RNAcentral